This 338-nucleotide ribosomal RNA is filed under the name uncultured bacterium. RNAcentral's name for it is "bacterial SSU rRNA". It matches the Rfam family "Bacterial small subunit ribosomal RNA", at positions 330 to 665 of the family's 1533-position model. The record is from RNAcentral.
GCCAGACUCCUACGGGAGGCAGCAGUGAGGAAUAUUGGUCAAUGGGCGUAAGCCUGAACCAGCCAAGUCGCGUGAGGGAUGAAGGAUCUAUGGUUCGUAAACCUCUUUUAUAAGGGAAUAAAGUGCGGGACGCGUCCCGCUUCGCAUGUACCUUAUGAAUAAGGAUCGGCUAACUCCGUGCCAGCAGCCGCGGUAAUACGGAGGAUCCGAGCGUUAUCCGGAUUUAUUGGGUUUAAAGGGCGCGUAGGCGGCUUUUGAAGUCAGGGGUGAAAGUCUGGGGCUCAACCAUAGAAUGGCCGUUGAACCGGGGGGGCUUGAUUAUGUUGGAGGCAGGGGGA